Molecule: Y RNA, 114 nt
Filed under: Microcebus murinus (gray mouse lemur)
Lineage: Eukaryota; Metazoa; Chordata; Mammalia; Primates; Cheirogaleidae
Description: Y RNA (ENSMICG00000047885.1)
Rfam family: Y RNA
About the family: Y RNAs are components of the Ro ribonucleoprotein particle (Ro RNP), in association with Ro60 and La proteins. The Y RNAs and Ro60 and La proteins are well conserved, but the function of the Ro RNP is not known.
Source: Rfam by way of RNAcentral
GGCUGGUCCGAAGGUAGUGAGUUAUCUCACUUGAUUGUUCACAGGCAGUUAUAGAUUGAACUCCUUGUUCUACUAUUUUCCCCCCUCCUCACUACUGCACUUGACUAGUCUUAA